AUGGGCAUGUAACUCAGUAGUAG
RNAcentral lists this non-coding RNA (23 nucleotides) under Cricetulus griseus (Chinese hamster). The record is from RNAcentral. Lineage: Eukaryota; Metazoa; Chordata; Mammalia; Rodentia; Cricetidae.